AAGAAUAGUUGGGACAAUUUAUCUAGAGAGGCAGAAAUAUGAUCUGGAGGAUUAAAAGAGUCGUAAUUUAAGAAGAUCGAGUUUGAGAGAUGGACAAUAUAAAAUUAAAAGUAUAAAAAUUUUCAAAUGCCAAUUAAUAGGAGCACUGUGCAAUGUGCAUCUGCAAAUGUGUGUGGUUAUGCAUAUAAGCUUGGUUGAACGUUACCAAUAGAUGGGUAAGAAU
Molecule: unclassified non-coding RNA, 223 nt
Filed under: Hevea brasiliensis (rubber tree)
Lineage: Eukaryota; Viridiplantae; Streptophyta; Magnoliopsida; Malpighiales; Euphorbiaceae
Source: RNAcentral